This 425-nucleotide ribosomal RNA is filed under the name Chrysomya megacephala (oriental latrine fly). RNAcentral's name for it is "partial 16S ribosomal RNA". Lineage: Eukaryota; Metazoa; Arthropoda; Insecta; Diptera; Calliphoridae. The record is from RNAcentral.
UUUAAAUGGCCGCAGUAUACUAACUGUGCAAAGGUAGCAUAAUCAUUAGUCUUUUAAUUGAAGGCUGGUAUGAAUGGUUGGACGAGAUAUUAACUGUUUCAUAAAAAUUUAUAAUAGAAUUUUAUUUUUUAGUCAAAAAGCUAAAAUAUAUUUAAAAGACGAGAAGACCCUAUAAAUCUUUAUAUUUAGGUUAUUAUAAUUUUAUAGAUUUUUUUUGUUAUAAUAAUUGAUAAUAUUUUAUUGGGGUGAUAUUAAAAUUUGAUAAACUUUUAAUUGUUUAAAUCAUUAAUUUAUGAAUAAUUGAUCCGUUAUUAGUGAUUAAAAAAAUAAGUUACUUUAGGGAUAACAGCGUAAUUUUUUUGGAGAGUUCAUAUCGAUAAAAAAGAUUGCGACCUCGAUGUUGGAUUAAGGUAUAAUUUUAGGUG